ACCUGGGAACUGCAUUCGAAACUGGCAGGCUAGAGUCUUGUAGAGGGGGGUAGAAUUCCAGGUGUAGCGGUGAAAUGCGUAGAGAUCUGGAGGAAUACCGGUGGCGAAGGCGGCCCCCUGGACAAAGACUGACGCUCAGGUGCGAAAGCGUGGGGAGCAAACAGGAUUAGAUACCCUGGUAGUCCACGCCGUAAACGAUGUCGACUUGGAGGUUGUGCCCUUGAGGCGUGGCUUCCGGAGCUAACGCGUUAAGUCGACCGCCUGGGGAGUACGGCCGCAAGGUUAAAACUCAAAUGAAUUGACGGGGGCCCGCACAAGCGGUGGAGCAUGUGGUUUAAUUCGAUGCAACGCGAAGAACCUUACCUACUCUUGACAUCCAGAGAACUUUCCAGAGAUGGAUUGGUG
Molecule: ribosomal RNA, 405 nt
Filed under: uncultured bacterium
Lineage: Bacteria
Description: bacterial SSU rRNA
Rfam family: Bacterial small subunit ribosomal RNA
Source: RNAcentral